This is a non-coding RNA of Physcomitrium patens, 2916 nucleotides long. The record is from RefSeq and is a predicted model, not a curated record. NCBI's taxonomy places the organism in Eukaryota, Viridiplantae, Streptophyta, Bryopsida, Funariales, Funariaceae.
AUAGUCGCGGCCAUGAAUCAGACCAGAGGGAGUGAUCCAUCGAAGAUAGCGAUGAUGCGGACAGAAGGGAGGGAGGGGAAGGGAAUGUUGUGAGAACGGCACUACCCGAAUGACAGCACCAGCAGCACUCCAAUCCCUGCCCCGCCUUCCACGGAGCCGUGGGAAUGCCAUGCUUCAGAAGUGUUACACUAUGUAGCCGCCGUUUUCCAUUUCUGGCUGGAGCCUCGCCUGGCAGCGUUCCCCUUUCGGUCAUCGUGACUCCUCAGCUGUGCACUCCCCUGCCGUUUUGAUUUCCGCGUCCCUGUAGCGACGUCAGCUGGGCCCUCCACAUGCAUCCACCUGCCCCCAUAUUAUAUAUCUGCCACCCCCUCCUCCAGCAAAUCCAUUCUGUUUACUCCCACUUCCCUCGAUUUCUCUCCCCAAUCCCAGUGAGCGGUUUGUGUCGUUCGUGCUUCAGACAGAAAGAGGAUUUGCCGCUUCGAUCUGCGAUUUCGUACCGGUCGAUGUGUGGAAUGAUCAUGUCUGUAGAGGUGUCGUGGUUAGGUGCUCGCAAGAGCAAUUUUGUUUUGGUUCCCAGAUAGAUACUUUCAGCGGCCGUUGCUGGCUCGGAUUGCCGAGGUUCGAUGGCAAUAGUGCCGGCUGACGAUAGCCGGCCUGCCCGCAACUCGUUGACUUUGCUUGGAGUUUGAAGCCGAAGCCUGGCGUCCUAGUUGCGUUUCUAAUCUUCUGUUUAUUUUUCAUCCCCUAAGAAAUUCUGUGUUAUGUUGCACAUCAGUUGCAUCCAUUUGUCUCAGCUCUGAUUAUGUUGUAUGUUUGCAAUUGGACGUAAGCAACGUAACCUUGUUAUCGAGUAAUUUCUUACCGGUGAUCAUCGCAUGGAGUAUUCGGAAACUCUCUCUCGUCUCGACAAAGUGCAUUCAGCCUGUACUUCCAGCUGAUCGCUCAACUUGGAAUUGGUGUGAGCAAAUUUCAAGCGGAUUUAACACUUCCCGACGGAUUUGUAUCAGUUUCGAUGCAGUGUCGUACUCCAUACUGGCCUUCGAAUUUAUCAUUUUGGCAAUCCGACCAGCUCUCGAUGACUCCUUUAGGGCGUCCACUUUGUGACAUGUCAAUCGGUGGUAGAGGCUUCUAAAUUCGUACUGCUGUUGAGCUGCUAGGAUUUGUGAAUUAGAAACAUUGGAAUGCAUCCCCCUAGUAUUUGUGUGGUUGCCAGAUGGACGUACUCUCUGUUGUACCUAUGAGCGUUGGCUUUAAUCAGCUGCAGGUUGGUUGGACGAGUCUGCUCUUGUGAGACUAACUAAGCUAUCAUUACUGAAGUUGUCAGGUCUGCUCGAGGAAUUUGACCAAGUUCUAUGUUCGAAAAUUUUGGUUUCCGUGUAGAGGUCGUUCGAAUUCUUAUCUCGUCUGAAUGAUAUUUCUGGUGCAGUUGAGACUUGAUGUGCGGGUGGUGUGGUGAGUAUUCCGUGUUUAUUGGGCUUGCAUUCUGAAUGGAUCACAAGUUGCUUGAAUACUACUUCGAAGGUGUAAGCCUGUAGUUGAUUUGCUGGUAGAUACAUCGAAUCUCAAGGGUCUCUUCGACGAAUACUAGGUACUAUUUUUUGAGAUUGAUUACAUCAAGGUCAGCGAUGCUUCUAUUUGCUGCUACCCCGUGGUCAACGAAGAUAAUAUGUAUCAAUCAGGAUAUAGAGAUGGAGACAGAAGUGUUACAAAGAGUUCUUGAGUCUCCAUGCUUCUCUGACGUUGCAUGGAGUCUAUGUCUGGACCUUCUCCAUUUCCUCUUUCAAGAGAAUGUGAGCAUUGAAGGAUUCGGACAUAGCCUUCAUGCAUGCUAGAGUAUCAUGGAGGCCCGUGAACUACUUGUAACUAUCACAUUUGUUUUCUUGCAACACAAUCCGUUCCUCCUGCUUAUCGCCGGAACUCCCAUUGGCACGACUAGAUGUUAUCCAGUGGGAUACCACUGUUACUUGAUCAGGUGAGUGACAUUACUGUGCAGUUCGUUUUCUUUUGAUUGCUUCAAAACUCUGUUUGGAGUCCUCGUAAACCCGUGCUGUGACUUCAAUCUGUUUGAACAAAGUGCAUGUGCUUCGGAAAUGUUCGACCAUCGCAGUGGUCAAUAAAUCUGAGGAGGCAAUCCACUCCCCCCACUACAGUUAUGUAGUCUAGCAUGAUGCUCUGGUUCCAUGUUUUAUAGAGUACUCGGGAUCACUUUCAUUCUGGAUGAGUGCUUAUUCGGACUAAUACACUAAUGUGGUACAGCAAUGGUCUCCACCUCGUUGCGAGAUCGGAUGAUUGUAGCAGAUCAGCAAGUGAAAUCAAGACCUUGAAGGUAUCAUCUGUAUUACUUCUGCACUUAGCCAACACAUAUCGAAGUCUCUCAUUUUAUGGAAUGUUACAGCCCACCCUUUUACCCGGUUGUCUGUGAAGUGGUCAUUUAGAUAUUGAUGAAACAUAGAGUUUAAGUAUCCUUGACGUGUUGAAAUUUUGUUAACAAGCACUGCCACAACCAGUUCUAUUUUGUUUCGUGUCUUCAGGAAUUGAAGAUAUUAUCACCACAAGUCCAUGAAGUUUAAAUUGAAUCAUCAAUUGCGUAAUUUUCUGCCAUGAUGAAGCCGUCCAUUGAUUCUCAAGUCACACCUUGCGUUUGACCAGUAAUGGAAUUGAACUACCUUGGUGCCGGAGUACUUGAAGCGUAAUCUUUACAUUGCCUCCUACUGUUUAGUUAAGAAAAUUAGAAUGCAUGAAGUUUUUGCUAGCUGUAUGGUGAAGUUCUUUCGAUAUAGGUUUCUACAGCGAGUUGCAGAUUUUCCAUGAUUCUGAGAAAGCUGGGAAAAGAUGUACUGACCAUUGAGUCUUAACAUGAGAGCUGAAUUCACGAUCUCUGCUACAAGCUAUGUGUACUCAGAAAUUUUCAUUCCA